AACCUAGCACACCUGCGGUGUGUACCUGCGGAAGGAUCAUUAUAGUAUAUGGAAUCUCCAUUCUAUAAACCCACUCUGCGUAUCUUGUAACUGUUGCUUCCAUGGGACUUGGUUCCGCCACACCGGCUUCACGGCUGGUGAGCGCCCAUGGAAGGAGAAACAAAACUCUUCUUUGAAAUGUAGUCAGUCUGAACAAGUUUUUAUAAACGUUAAAACUUUUAACAAUGGAUCUCAGAUCGG
This 240-nucleotide unclassified non-coding RNA is filed under the name soil metagenome. RNAcentral's name for it is "partial contains 5.8S ribosomal RNA, internal transcribed spacer 2, and large subunit ribosomal RNA". The record is from RNAcentral.